AUGCUGCGGGGGACACGCACCCCCAGAAGUCGUCAGGGUGCCGGUCAGGAGCAGGCCCGGCCUGUCUCAGAGGAGAGCCCUGGAGCGAGGCCACCCGGGGGACACACUGUCCCCGGGCCAGUCUGGGUCAGCGCCCAGCCGGGGUCCCCCUGGGCCUCGGAUAACCGAGCCCACGGCCAUGCGCAGGGGGAAAGCCCCAACUGCCCGGGGCGUCGGUUGGAGGCUGGAAUUCUCAGGCCUUCGGGGCUGUUGGGGGCCACAGGGGAGCCUUGGUCUCUGGACUCGCUUCUCGGGAGGACCUCGGGCCUCAGGGGCGUCUCUUGGGGGUGCCAGCCCCACGAGCCUCAGCUCAGCCCUGGUGAACCGCCUGGACCCCCUCCUUGCAGCAGUUUGCAGAAGGGGCUCAACUGUCUUCUCGGAACACACGGGCAUCCUCCCUGCCAGAGCCCGGAGCCAGAGCACAGGUCACAGGGGUCUCCGCAGGGACCCACACCUGAGCACGGGGUGCUGAGGGCGUCCUCGGGACUGGAUCGCCGGGUCAGAGCAAGAGUGGGGCCAACGGGGUCGGGCAGGAGCCACGAGGGCCCUGGACGGGAGACCGGCCAGCUCGGCCUGGGGUGGGGGGCAGGGCUGGGCUGUGGUUGUCACUUGUCACAUCCUCCAGGCCUGGGCAGAGGGACAUGGGACAUUGGUCGAGUGAAGGAAGAAAGGUGGCAAGAGGGAUGGUGCAGGGAGACUCAUGGGGUGCAUGGGGCCCCGAGUCCGGGUCUGGCUGGUGAGCUCGUGCGAGUGGGGCUGAGUACCAGGCCGGCACCCACCUCUCCUGGUUCUGGGCCAGUGGGCGUAAGAGACCGGGUGGACAGGGCUCCUGGCCCGGUGCCCCUGCCUGGGGAGGGGCCGGUGCCUUCUCUGGCUCACCCUCGGGUGCGUCCACUGGCGGGCACAUGCUCAUGGAUCCGCUUGCCUUCGUCCGUCCCUGGACGCGUUGGGGCCUUGGAGUGCAGACGCCCCCCUCAGAGGGGAGGGAACCGGACAGGGGUGGGGAGGUGCCAGGAGACAUGUGAGUCCCUUUGGGGCCCAGGCAGACGGGGGCAGUGA
Molecule: long non-coding RNA, 1098 nt
Filed under: Vulpes vulpes (red fox)
Lineage: Eukaryota; Metazoa; Chordata; Mammalia; Carnivora; Canidae
Description: lncRNA (ENSVVUG00000013940.1)
Source: RNAcentral